This is a long non-coding RNA of Frieseomelitta varia, 765 nucleotides long. RefSeq lists it as uncharacterized. The transcript is spliced from 4 exons. NCBI's taxonomy places the organism in Eukaryota, Metazoa, Arthropoda, Insecta, Hymenoptera, Apidae. The record is from RefSeq and is a predicted model, not a curated record.
ACGUUUUGAAAAACAACAGUAUUUCCUGAACAAACGCUCCCUUUCCCCUACUAACAUAGCUUCUUUUCAGAGAUUGUGACCGCGCGCAAUGCGGCCAAUAGAGUCAGUGUUUGUCGCGUAACAUUUUUAGUAUUUUUCACAGCAACACAGCUCUUAGUAAUUAUAAAUUCAAUUAUAAGUUGUUCCCGAAAUUAGAAUCAUUGUUUGUUCGCCGAUUGUUAUUUGAACGCGCGCGUUGAUAGUCUUUUAUUUUCCUUUUUUUUUGUAUAAGUGUGUGUGUUAUAUUUUAAAUAUUCGUCUCGGUACUAGAGUCAGUGCUUCUCUCAAGAGGAUACAGCCUCUCCGGGAGCCAAAAAUAAUAUUUCAAACUUUUGCUUUUUCCUAUUUUCUGGGGAGAAUGUAGCAGUGCUCCAAAAAUCUACAACGACCUGCACUUCUAUCAUGGGAUAGAACUUUGCGAUGACAAUCUUGGUGCUUUGGAAGCCAAAAUUAUUUUUCAUAACUGGCAUUUCUACCAUGGGAUCAAUUCUUCUUGGUGACAGUCUUCAAGAUGACUUUCCACGGGCUAUCACAGCAUCGCAGCAUCGAUUACUACAUUCCUCACAUCUAAUUGUGAGUCGCAUGCCUUUUGGUUCCUCUGGUCACUCAAUCAUGUCGUAGGAUGAAAGAUCCGAAUCGACACGGGUGAUUGGUUGUAUUACGUAGAAUUUUUUGCGAGCAUAGUGACUGCGGGUAUCUGUUAUACCCGUGAGUGAUAAUAUUUUU